CGAUGCAACGCGAAAAACCUUACCUACCUUUGACAUGUACGGAACUCGCCAGAGAUGGCUUGGUGCUCGAAAGAGAACCGUAACACAGGUGCUGCAUGGCUGUCGUCAGCUCGUGUCGUGAGAUGUUGGGUUAAGUCCCGCAACGAGCGCAACCCUUGUCAUUAGUUGCUACAUUUGGUUGGGCACUCUAAUGAGACUGCCGGUGACAAACCGGAGGAAGGUGGGGAUGACGUCAAGUCCUCAUGGCCCUUAUAGGUAGGGCUACACACGUCAUACAAUGGAUGGUACAGAGGGUCGCCAACCCGCGAGGGGGAGCUAAUCCCAUAAAACCAUUCGUAGUCCGGAUCGCAGUCUGCAACUCGACUGCGUGAAGUCGGAAUCGCUAGUAAUCGCGGAUCAGAAUGUCGCGGUGAAUACGUUCCCGGGUCUUGUACACACCGCCCGUCACACCAUGGGAGCGGGUUCUGCCAGAAGUAGUUAGCCUACCGCAAGGAGGGCGAUACCACGCGGUCUGCUG
Molecule: ribosomal RNA, 517 nt
Filed under: Polaromonas sp. BAC10P
Lineage: Bacteria; Pseudomonadati; Pseudomonadota; Betaproteobacteria; Burkholderiales; Comamonadaceae
Description: bacterial SSU rRNA
Rfam family: Bacterial small subunit ribosomal RNA
Source: RNAcentral